This 253-nucleotide ribosomal RNA is filed under the name uncultured bacterium. RNAcentral's name for it is "partial 16S ribosomal RNA". It matches the Rfam family "Bacterial small subunit ribosomal RNA", at positions 524 to 776 of the family's 1533-position model. The record is from RNAcentral.
UACGAAGGGGGCUAGCGUUGCUCGGAAUCACUGGGCGUAAAGGGUGCGUAGGCGGGUUUUUAAGUCAGAGGUGAAAUCCUGGAGCUCAACUCCAGAACUGCCUUUGAUACUGAAAGUCUUGAGUACGGGAGAGGUGAGUGGAACUGCGAGUGUAGAGGUGAAAUUCGUAGAUAUUCGCAAGAACACCAGUGGCGAAGGCAGCUCACUGGCCCGUAACUGACGCUGAGGCACGAAAGCGUGGGGAGCAAACAGG